UCGGUAGACGCUACGGACUUAUCGUGAGGGUUCAAGUCCCUCUAUCCCCAAGAAAAAGCCCAUUGAAAUU
RNAcentral lists this transfer RNA (70 nucleotides) under Stenorrhynchos millei. RNAcentral's name for it is "partial transfer RNA-Leu". The record is from RNAcentral. Lineage: Eukaryota; Viridiplantae; Streptophyta; Magnoliopsida; Asparagales; Orchidaceae.